Molecule: ribosomal RNA, 521 nt
Filed under: uncultured Glomeraceae
Lineage: Eukaryota; Fungi; Glomeromycota; Glomeromycetes; Glomerales; Glomeraceae
Description: SSU rRNA
Rfam family: Eukaryotic small subunit ribosomal RNA
Source: RNAcentral
AGCAGCCGCGGUAAUUCCAGCUCCAAUAGCGUAUAUUAAAGUUGUUGCAGUUAAAAAGCUCGUAGUUGAAUUUCGGGAUCAAUACGUCGGUCGUGCUUCGGUACGUACUGGCGUCAUUGGUUUCUCCCUUCUGAAGAACCAUGAUGUCAUUAACUUGGUGUCAUGGGAAAUCAGGACUGUUACUUUGAAAAAAUUAGAGUGUUUAAAGCAGGCUCACGCUUGAAUACAUUAGCAUGGAAUAAUGAAAUAGGACGUUCGAACCUAUUUUGUUGGUUUCUAGGAUCAACGUAAUGAUUAAUAGGGAUAGUUGGGGGCAUUAGUAUUCAAUUGUCAGAGGUGAAAUUCUUGGAUUUAUUGAAGACUAACUACUGCGAAAGCAUUUGCCAAGGAUGUUUUCAUUAAUCAAGAACGAAAGUUAGGGGAUCGAAGACGAUCAGAUACCGUCGUAGUCUUAACCAUAAACUAUGCCGACUAGGGAUCGGAUGAUGUUAAUUAUUUAAUGACUCAUUCGGCGCCUUACG